AACAGACUGAUUUAGGAGAGACAGCUCAGGUGGGGGCUAUCUGCUCCCGGUACUAGACAUAUAUGGUCUUAAGUGUUGUUUUAAGCAUUAAGCAUUUCCUGAGUCCAAGUUAGCCAAUUUUAAUAAUGGAUAUCUAAUAUGAUACCUAUAAGCUUGAACCUUGGAAUCAAAGUAAAUUCUUUCACAAUUCCCUCUUUUGAUCCAAG
Molecule: non-coding RNA, 206 nt
Organism: Pelobates cultripes (western spadefoot toad)
Lineage: Eukaryota; Metazoa; Chordata; Amphibia; Anura; Pelobatidae
Source: the annotation of a GenBank genome assembly